Long non-coding RNA from Ictalurus furcatus (blue catfish), 2148 nucleotides. RefSeq lists it as uncharacterized. The record is from RefSeq and is a predicted model, not a curated record. The transcript is spliced from 4 exons. NCBI's taxonomy places the organism in Eukaryota, Metazoa, Chordata, Actinopteri, Siluriformes, Ictaluridae.
ACGUACUGAUAUGUGCAGUGUACGAACAAAGCAUUCAUCUUUUCACAAUUCAGGAAGUGCUCUAAGUGAUUAAAUAUGGCGAGUAGACGGGGUCAAAAGACUCAGAGGCAGCAUCUACCUGCGAAAUCACAGACGUGUCGAUUCCAGUCAGACAAAAAUGAUCAAUUAGCAGUCCAUAAUUUGAUUUGAAAUUUUCUCAGUGGAAGUGGGAGAAAAACAGUAAAGAGGCAGAUCUUAAAUGACAUAAAAUUCCGCCAUGUCCCAAUGGAAAUCCAAUCCUGACCGAAUAGGGAUCAGGUUGUUUACAUGUUUAAUAACUCACACGUGGAGGGUCAUGUUGUCAGGAGUGCCGUCCUGGUUGGAGUCUGUCAUGUCAUGGACAGCGCUGAUGGCCAUGACGCCUUGUCCGACAGUGUACACGAUGGAGAGAUACACUAUUGUCCUGGAGAGAGAGAGAGAGAGAGAGAGAGAGAGAGAGAGAGAGAGAGAGCGAAAGAGAGGGAGAGAGACCAAGAGUGAGAGAGAGAGCGAAAGAGAGAGAGAGCGAUAGAGAGAGGUCAGUAUAAUUUUUUUGCUUUUAUUUAUAAAAUCUUUUGAAAUUCAGUUUAAGUUUAAUAAGCUUUUAGUGCAAUUUUGCUACUUUCUUUUAUUUAUUUAUUUAUUUAUUUAUUUAUUUAUUUAGAGAUAUUUUUAUUUAGCUUUUUAUUUACAUGGUUUUAGGUUUAGUGAUUUUAGGUCUGGGGACACACUGAGGGAUUAUAAAUUGAAUAUGAAAAUGCAGUUAUGUUCAAAUAAAAUAAAAAUGGAUCCUGUUAUUGUCCAUGAGAGUCUUUUCAGAACAGUUUAUAAAAUGAGGGAAUAUUUCAAAGGGGUUUAUAAAGUUAUACAGAAUAAAUAAAUAAAUAAAUAAAUAAAAAUAUAUAAUGUGACUUUUUCCCAUACUUCUUGCAAGUUGCAAAAAAAACCUCACACUACUGUUUUAUGUUAUAAAGAAUUUAAUUUGCCGUUCUUUAUUAGUUUAAUUAAUUUAGGUGUCAUUUUUUACUUCAUUUUAGUAUAUUUUAUUUAUAGUCUAUGGGGUCGUAGUGAGCCUGGAGCCUAUCCCAGGGAACUCGGAGCACAAGAGGAAAACGGAGUACACGGAGGAAACCCCCGAAGAGUCGGGAGAGCAUGCAAACUCUGCACACACAGGACGGAGAUGGAAUUCGAACCCCCAGCCAUGGAGCCAGGAAUCGGCUAUGAUGGCUCCCAGGAUGGGCGUGAGGUAGCACAGAGCCACGAAGGUGUGGUAGAUAGUGGUGGCCAAGUCAUCAUCCCAACGCAGGAAAUAACGGAAAUACAGCACCAACACGGCUGCAGAUGGAGAGAGAGAGAGAGAGAGAGAGAGAGAGAGAGAGAGAGAGAGAGAGAGAGUAGGGGAGAAGAAAGAAUUCAUGCAGGAUGCAACUCCAAGUUUUUUUCUGAACUUACCUCGCAUGCCAUAGUAGGAAAAGCGUUCGCAGAACUCAUUCACGACGAUGAAGAAGAUGCUGAGAGGGUAGCCACAGCACUCCGUCUGUUCACGGGCAAAAAUAAUAAUUCAAUUCAAUUCUCUAAGACAUAAUACAGUACACGGUAUUGGUUCUUUAAAAUUUUUUUAUUUCACCUUGGAUUUGGUCUGCUUCUCUUUUCUCUGCUCAUUGUCUAUAAAGUAAGAUAAAGUGUGUUCAGAUUUUCAGAUUGGACAUUUCAGACUGGACCUACUAAUGUAAAUGGGCACAUUCAGUUCAAAUAGAAUAGAAUGAAUACUGACACAAAGAUAGGCUAACACAAUGAAACAAUUUUAAUAAAGAACAUCAUGCUUAACUGAUAAAAUUUAAGUUGAAGAUAGUCAAUCCAAGCCUUUAUGCUGUAGUUUGUCACCUGGACCACUCACCUGCCAUGUUUCCUGUUGUCUCUUACUCCUCACUGAGGGAUAUCCUUUAUUACACCUCUCACACACUCUCUCUCUCUCUCUCUCACACACACACACACACCUCCUGUGGUCUGAGCACCUGGGGAAGCAGGUAGUGGGGUUUUAUAUAUAACCUGCAUCAUAAAUCCUAAUCAGGCAGAGAGGACUGUGGACUGUGGACCCCAUUUAUGGCUCAGAACAUCUGUGUGUGUGUG